UACAGAGGUCCCAAGCGUUGUUCGGAUUCACUGGGCGUAAAGGGUGCGUAGGUGGUCGGGUAAGUCUGAUGUGAAAUCCCCGGGCUCAACCUGGGAACUGCAUUCGAAACUGCAUUGCUAGAGUAUGGAAGAGGGAAGUGGAAUUUCCGGUGUAGCGGUGAAAUGCGUAGAUAUCGGAAGGAACACCAGUGGCGAAAGCGACUUCCUGGUCCAAUACUGACGUUCAUGUGCGAAAGCGUGGGGAGCAAACAGG
This 253-nucleotide ribosomal RNA is filed under the name uncultured prokaryote. RNAcentral describes it as "partial 16S ribosomal RNA". It matches the Rfam family "Bacterial small subunit ribosomal RNA", at positions 524 to 776 of the family's 1533-position model. The record is from RNAcentral.